Carya illinoinensis is the source of this 502-nucleotide long non-coding RNA. RefSeq lists it as uncharacterized. The record is from RefSeq and is a predicted model, not a curated record. The transcript has 2 exons. Lineage: Eukaryota; Viridiplantae; Streptophyta; Magnoliopsida; Fagales; Juglandaceae.
UGUGUGGUCUCUUCUAUCACUCUCAAAGAGUUGCUAAAGUGCUGAGGUGGACCUCUUCUUUCAUCCCUUUCCUAUUUGGGAGUUCAUUUCUGCUGAUCUCAAGUUUUGAAGAGUAAGACUUGCCGAUGUACAACAAGAAGAACCUUUCAGGCAUAUUCGUUUGAAGUUGACUCCUACACUGUCGAAUACUCAAAUUUGAGUUACAAAGUUGGGCCAUGCGCAGCACAGCCUUCAUGUACAAGAGGUAAGGAUUUAGCUGCUACUGUACAGUGCAAAACUUUCUACUAGCAAAACCUGGUUUGUCUUUUGCCCAGUGCAUUAUGGCAUUGCAGAAAUCAAUCUCGGUGAAUACAGAAUGCAUGAAACAAAGAAGCUAUUGAUCCAAAGGCAAAAAGUCGAUUUCAUGUAAGCUUAGACACAGACAGCCAAAAUGAAGCACCAAGACGAGUAUUCGGCAUUCAUCUUUCUCAAGCCACCACAUGCAUGCAUCCUUGUUGGUAUU